UCCGUACUGGUGUAUCGGUAACAUUUCCGCCUCUCAGCAGAUCGCGGUAGCGCAGGGUUCGACUCCCUGGUACGGAA
RNAcentral lists this transfer RNA (77 nucleotides) under Blumeria hordei DH14. RNAcentral describes it as "Blumeria graminis f. sp. hordei DH14 tRNA-Glu". Lineage: Eukaryota; Fungi; Ascomycota; Leotiomycetes; Helotiales; Erysiphaceae. The record is from RNAcentral.